This 27-nucleotide non-coding RNA is filed under the name Rattus norvegicus (Norway rat). The record is from RNAcentral. Lineage: Eukaryota; Metazoa; Chordata; Mammalia; Rodentia; Muridae.
AGUGAGAGCAGAAGAGAGAGAUGAAUC